UACGUAUGGUGCAAGCGUUAUCCGGAUUUACUGGGUGUAAAGGGAGCGCAGGCGGCACGGCAAGCCUGAUGUGAAAGCCCGCGGCCCAACCGCGGGACUGCAUUGGGAACUACCGGGCUGGAGUGCCGGAGAGGUAGGCGGAAUUCCUAGUGUAGCGGUGAAAUACGUAGAUAUUAGGAGGAACACCAGUGGCGAAGGCGGCCUACUGGACGGUGACUGACGCUGAGGCUCGAAAGCGUGGGGAGCAAACAGG
RNAcentral lists this ribosomal RNA (253 nucleotides) under uncultured bacterium. RNAcentral's name for it is "partial 16S ribosomal RNA". It matches the Rfam family "Bacterial small subunit ribosomal RNA", at positions 524 to 776 of the family's 1533-position model. The record is from RNAcentral.